CAAUAAAAGAGCUGGUCGUAGAUCAUCGAUUCCUAAAUGGUCUACAGACGUUUAAUAUCGAUGACAUUAACGUGACCAUUGGGGACCUUUUCCCAAGCUUGACACAAUUGACUUUUACCACUCUUCAGACUGUCUUACCGGGAGAUGUUGAACAGUUGGCACAUGCAAGCUUAGCUGUGUUGUCUAUUGAGCAUGGUAAGAAAGGGAAAGAUCUAGUUCCUCUCAUUGGAGAACCUACUUCACUGGGGCAACUUUUCUCCAGUUCAUUCCCACGACUCACCUAUCUGACCUUCCGAGAGCUAGUAAUGGGCAACAUACGCAGUGAAGCAAUACUUCGUAAUCUAAAGAACCACCUCCAUUUGAAAUCAAUAAGUAUCAUCAGUUGUUAUACGGAUGAAGAAUUGGACCCCCUGGCUGAAGAAAUAACUACCGAGAACAGGAUGAAAAUUACACUUCAACAUGACAUGGAACAAAAGAGCACAGUUAUGACAUUUGGUGAUCAGGUCGCAUCAUCACAAGAGAGCAUAGUAUGUGGUACUCAGGUUACUACAAGGAUACUCACAUUUGGACCAUUAACAGUAGAUAUGGUGGAUGCACUUUGCCAUCGAACAUGUGUCGGUUAUUUGGAAGUACUCGAAUCAGGCAUAAAUAUUGCAAGUGACAAACGUUUUCCAGACCUUCAUGGCAGAGAGGUGGAUUCA
Strongylocentrotus purpuratus (purple sea urchin) is the source of this 701-nucleotide long non-coding RNA. RefSeq lists it as uncharacterized. The record is from RefSeq and is a predicted model, not a curated record. NCBI's taxonomy places the organism in Eukaryota, Metazoa, Echinodermata, Echinoidea, Camarodonta, Strongylocentrotidae. The transcript is spliced from 3 exons.